GACGAACGCUGGCGGCGUGCUUAACACAUGCAAGUCGAACGGAAAGGCCCUGCUUUUGUGGGUUGCUCGAGUGGCGAACGGGUGAGUAACACGUGAGUAACCUGCCCUUGACUUUCUGAUAACUUCAGGAAACUGCGGCUAAUAUCCGAUAGAAGCUACUGCUCCAUGUGGGGCGUUGGUAAGUUUCGGCUGUAGUGGCUGUACUCGCGGCUUAUGAGCUUGUUUGUCGGGUAGUUGCUUUCCAAGCCUUUGAAGGGUAGCCUGCCUGAGAGGGUGACCGGCGACAUUGGGACUGAGAUACGGCGCAGACGCGUACGGGAGGCAGCAGUCGGGAAUAUUGCACAAUGGGCGGACGCGUGAUGCAGCAAUGUCGCGUGCGGAAUGACGGCUUUCGGGUUGUAAACAGCUUUCGCAUGUGACGAAGAGUGAGUGACGGUAAUGGGUAAAGAAGCAACGGCUAACUACGUG
RNAcentral lists this ribosomal RNA (468 nucleotides) under uncultured bacterium. RNAcentral's name for it is "partial 16S ribosomal RNA". It matches the Rfam family "Bacterial small subunit ribosomal RNA", at positions 28 to 507 of the family's 1533-position model. The record is from RNAcentral.